CUGAGAGGUUUCGUGGCUCCAUCACUUUCAUGUCUCAUGGCAACACAGAGGCACGUUGAUGUAAAGGUAGAGAAAAGCUGCUCACCUUGGCAUCCAGGAAUCAGAGAAAGAUGAAGAGGGACCUUAAUGUCCUUUAAGAGAAUGCUCAUUUAAUGACUUACGUUGUCCUAUCAGGCUCUAUCUUUUAAGUUCUACCAGCUUCCAAUAGUAGCACUGGAUAAUGAAUAUGUCUAUGGAUGAAUCCAUUGACUAGGCUAGAACAUUCCUUAUACAAUCACUUCCCAAAAGUAUUCAACACAUGAGUUUUGGCGAGACAUUACCAAGGACUACAUUACAGUCCUUUUAACAGCUACUCUGCUUUCUACUCUGAUUUCUAUUUUCUGUGAUAAAACAUUCUGGCCAAAAGGAACUUGGGGAGGAAAGGACUUUUUGGGGGAGAGGACAGGGCAAGAGGCGUAUGUUUCCCAUCUUGGUCCAUCAUUGAAAAAUGUCAGGGCCAAGAGCUCAAGGCAGGAACUUGGAAGCAGGAGCCAGAACAAAACACUGCUUGCUCCCUAUGGCUUGCUCAGCUUGCCUUUUUAAAAGACAACCUAGGACCAUGUGACCCAGGGAUGUCACCAUCUACAAUGUGCUAGACCCUCCCAUUCCAAUCUUUAAUCCAGAAAAAUGAUCCACAGACUUCCUACAGAGCAAUCUGAUGGGGACAUUUUCUCAAUUUAAAUUCCAGCUUCCCAGAGGGCUCAAGCUUGUGUCAAGUUAACAAAAAAAACCUAACCAGGAUAACUGGUCUAUUAAGGACUGGUAACCCAGUCUUGUUGAAUGGAAUGCAAGGCCCGGGGUCUGACUUGAACAAAUCUGGUAAGAGGACUUGGUAGUCACAAGCCUUGGAAAGUAAUAAUCACUUUCCAGAAGGCUCCUCACCAUAUUACUUAAAUACUUAUAUCCAAUUCUCAUCUUGAAAUAGAGCAGACUCCUUGGCCUCUCCUUAGUUCAACCCUGGAACACUCAUCCAGUAAGACUCAAAGGUUUCCCAGACUUUCUGGGUUGGUCUCGGCUGUGGUUAGCAAAAGGCUGUUUUGGAAAUGCCAAGGCCUAUUUCAUUCUGCAUCUGAGGAGAUGCGGGAACCUCUGCCGAACGCAGAGAUGGUGAGGAGGGUCGAUGUGGCUACAGGCUCAUCCUCAUCUCGGAGCUGGAAGCUCCAUGGCCUGGGGUUUGAGGCUUCCAGCCGGCGCCACAAACUUUGGGCCAAUCAGCGCGGCCCGGUGGCCUGGGCUCCCCACCGCUCCGGCCGCGCCUGCCCCGGCCGAGGAGGGGCCUGGCCGCGGGGAGCCGAGGAGGGAGGUGGGGAUUCUGGGAGCCGAGCUCAUUUCCUCCUCCCGGCCGCCCCAGGCCCGCACCCCAUCUCCACGUGCGGCGCCUCCGGAGCGCGGCCGAGCCACGGAGGAUGCUGGGCAUGUACGUACCAGACAGGUUCGCCCUGAAGUCGUCCCGGGUCCAGGACGGGAUGGGGCUCUACACGGCCCGCCGCGUGCGCAAGGGUGAAAAAUUUGGACCCUUCGCUGGGGAGAAGCGAAUGCCUGAAGACUUGGAUGAAAAUAUGGACUACAGACUGAUGUGGGAGGUACGUGGGAGCAAGGGAGAAGUUCUGUAUAUUUUGGAUGCUACCAACCCAAGACACUCCAACUGGCUUCGCUUUGUUCACGAGGCACCAUCUCAGGAGCGGAAGAACCUGGCUGCCAUUCAAGAAGGAGAAAAUAUUUUCUACUUGGCAGUUGAUGAUAUAGAAACAGAUACAGAGCUUUUGAUUGGCUACCUGGACAGUGAUGUGGAGGCAGAGGAGGAGGAGCAACAAGCUCUGACCAUGACCAAAGAAGGCAAAGUUGACCACUCUAAGGGACAGUUGGCAGCUGGAAGUAAAGGUCACCUUGGCUGUGAAGAGGACUUUGCCUGUCCACAGUGUGAAUCGAGCUUUCCCAGUGAGGAAGUCCUUACUGAGCACCUUCAGAGCUUGCACCAGAAGCCCACAGGGGAGAAAGAGUUCAAAUGCGAGAACUGCGGGAAGAAAUUCCCUGUGAGGCAGGCCUUGCAGAGACAUUUUGAGCAGCACCGGAAGGCUUGCCGAGGGGAGGCCAGGUUUGUGUGCAAAGCCGACAGCUGCGGGAAGAGGCUGAAAAGCAAGGAUGCCCUGCGAAGGCACCAGGAAAAUGUCCACACCGGUGAUCCUAAGAGAAAACUCAUAUGCUCGGUGUGCAAUAGAAAAUGUACCUCAGUGUCAAGCCUGCAGGAGCACAGGAAGAUUCAUGAGAUAUUUGAUUGUCAAGAAUGUAUGAAAAAGUUUAUUUCUGCUAAUCAGCUGAAGCGUCACAUGAUUACCCACUCAGAAAAGCGGCCUUAUAACUGUGAGAUCUGUAACAAGUCCUUCAAGAGGCUCGAUCAAGUGGGCGCCCACAAAGUGAUCCACAGUGAGGACAAACCCUACCAGUGCAAGCUCUGUGGCAAGGGCUUUGCUCACAGAAACGUUUACAAGAACCACAAGAAGACCCACUCCGAGGAGAGACCUUUCCAGUGUGAUGCAUGUAAAGCCUUGUUCCGCACGCCCUUUUCUCUGCAGAGACACCUGUUAAUCCACAACAGUGAGAGGACUUUUAAGUGUCACCACUGUGAUGCCACAUUUAAAAGGAAGGAUACAUUAAACGUUCAUGUCCAGGUGGUCCAUGAAAGACACAAGAAGUACCGAUGUGAGCUGUGCAAUAAGGCCUUUGUCACACCUUCAGUGCUUAGGAGUCAUAAGAAGACACACACAGGAGAAAAGGAGAAAGUCUGCCCAUAUUGUGGCCAGAAAUUUGCCAGCAGUGGGACCCUGAGAGUUCACAUCCGGAGCCACACAGGAAGAGUGAACAGCAGAGAAGCACAAACGACUAAUGUUACUCAUUACUUUGAAUGUUUGAGGCAUUUACUCACAGGAGCUCCAACCCGAUGGUGCCCUCUCCGCCCCUCCAUUCCCAAGUCAUCUUCCUUAUUUAGCCAUUCGUGGUCAUUGAAGAUACAGAGAAUGUAUAGGCUACAGACUGGGUUUGCUGUCAAAUGGGUGUUGGCCUGGGAUGAUUGAAAAGCCACACUCACUGUAAGUGAAGGCGAGCCUUUAGCUCUGCAUUUGGUGGGCAGCUCUGUAAUUUAUCAUCCAGUUUCCUAUGAGGGGACCAUAGAGAUGAUACUCUGCAGGUCAGCAGGAAUGGUGGAGCCCUUUCUCCAGUAAGUUUCUUGCUUCUCAGGGUCAGUGAAAGCUGAAGCCCAUUCAGCAAGGGAAUCCACAGACUGACAUAAAUUCCAUUAGUUCAUAAAUUAGAAAAGAGAUUUUAGGAGUUUCUUUUGGUUUUUAAAGCUUUAGGCCAGGAGGUUAAUUAUGUGCCUAGAGUUAACUUUCUGGGUUAAUAGAGAGCGGCUGUGUUGGACAUUCUGGCUCUGGCUGUGUGCACACUGUUAUUUGAGUGUGGUAAUAAAUCACUGUCUUCGGAAGAACUUUUUUUUUUCUUUCAGUAAAUACCUGUGAUCAGCUUAGAAUUAAAGGAUUGUUGUAUUGUUGUUGGAUUAUGCCUGGUAUCCUCACACUGUUUUUCUCUCUUCCUUAAUACCUCUCUAAAGAAAUUAAUUCAUUGUGUUUAAAAUGUUUGCUCAAAUAUUAUAAAACCAGUAGCUAUGUAUAGUUAUAAAUAAUAUAAGGGAAUAAUGAACAAAUGACAAACACAUGAAACUUAGACUUGUCUUUUAUGUCUUUGUAGGUAGUAAAUGACCUUAUCUGCUGAGAAGGCUUUUGUUCAGCUUUGGUUUCCUAAGUGAUUCCUUAUUGACUCGGGCCCAGUCAGAGGUGAGCGCCCCUAUCAAUGCCCGUACUGUGAAAAAGGUUUCAGUAAAAAUGACGGACUGAAGAUGCACAUUCGUACUCACACCAGGGAGAAGCCCUACCAGUGCUCAGAGUGCAGCAAGGCCUUCAGCCAGAAGCGGGGCCUCGAUGAACACAAGAGGACACACACAGGAGAAAAGCCUUUUCAGUGUGACGUAUGUGACUUGGCUUUUAGCCUGAAGAAAAUGCUUAUUCGACACAAGAUGACACACAAUCCUAACCGUCCGAUGGCAGAGUGCCAUUUCUGCCAUAAGAAGUUUACAAGAAAUGACUACCUCAAAGUGCACAUGGACAACAUCCAUGGGGUAGCUGACAGCUAAGAGGAGCGGCAAGGAACCACACCAUGUGAAAGAGCUUCUACUAUGAAUCCCAGAUUCUUCUCACCUGAUCGGCUUAACAGAAAUAGCCACAAAGGAUUCAUUGAUCUGACAGUGUUUAUGUGCCUAUCUUUGUAAUCUAUAGAUGCAAAAAAAAUCCUUUUACCAAAAAUAAAUUCAAAAUAGAAAACAAUAAUACUUUGUAGAUUACAGAGUAUUCUGGCUGAUUAAAAAUUAAAUACAGAGUACGGCUCUUGACUUUCUUUUAUGAAGUUUAUUAAUAUGUACCCAUUAGGCCUUUAUGUUGUUAUUCAUGUGUGUGAAUAUUGCAGCUAGUUCUCACUAAUUCAGGAAGAAAUCAAGACACCUGAGUACUUCUUUACAGAUACUACUAGUAAGACCAUGUGUUUUUAAAGUCUCAAGCAUGAAAAUAUUUGAUAAAUAGACAAGGAUUUCAUCGUAUUUAACAAUUACCUUAAAAUAAAGAGAUAUUUGAGAACUAAAGUUUCUUUUAAAAUAGUGCUCACUUUAUAGAUUUCUGAGAACACACUAUUUUUAUGCAUCGUUCUGAUGCUUGUAUCCAUGUUGUAGAACUGCUUUAUAUAGUAGAAACAAGUAUAACGGCUAUAUUUUAUUUUUAUCAGACUGAUCUUGGUGAGUUUUAAUGUCCAUUCUGAGAAAUUAGCAGUAGUAAACACUCCAAGCUAGAAAUAGAAAGUUAUUUCCCGCCAUCACAUCAGUUACAUGGAGAUGGCCCCGGCAUGCAGGAGUUGUCCAUACAGGUACAACAGUUCUCAGAGCCUUGUCUUACUGAUGUGAUUCUCAUCACACUUUUGAAUUAUCCUCAAUCAUCUCAUGCAGUUAGAAAUCUAGAAUACCAAAAAAAAAAAAAGCCUGCUUAUUGCUAUGCUUUAAAUUUGUUCCAGCAAAAUCUAUAGCCAGAUACAAUGAGCAAGGCAUGAUGAUAUAAUAUAAUAACAGUGUCAAAAUAACUGAGAGUUCCAAAACAGAAAAAUCCGAAGAAGCACAGUUCAUGGACCUGUGUGGUCAGCAUCAAUUUUUGAAGAGAGGGGAGUUAAUGAAAAGAAAGUCAUUUGGUGGUGAGGAGUUAGGGAGAAAAGUUACCCAAGGACUUGGGAAUCUCAGAGUCACAAAACCACAAAGAUUCUCGAUAGACAUUUAAAGCCUUUGAAGAUGCCAUGCUUGAGACUUACCUAAGAUGACUUUUAAAGAGCCAGGCGUUGGGGAGGACUAGACUGAAACAGGGCCUUCUGGACAAGAUGGGACCAUGGCACUCAUGAACUGCCUGCAGCUGUGGUUGUUGCACAGGCUAGAGCUAGGCACAUUCUAGCAUAGAGAUGAAAGAGAUCAUCAGCUUCCACUGAAGAGCUACUGAUAGUUGAUGGCUUCAGAAGGAAGUAUAAUCAGCUUUUUUAAGGGUGAUUCUGGUGGGUCAGUUGCACUCCAGUGCAUGGACCUACACCCAUUAAA
Mus musculus (house mouse) is the source of this 5710-nucleotide RNA transcript. It is a transcript of the gene named PR domain containing 5, with no coding region annotated. The transcript has 17 exons. The record is from RefSeq and is marked validated. NCBI's taxonomy places the organism in Eukaryota, Metazoa, Chordata, Mammalia, Rodentia, Muridae.